AUUGAACGCUGGCGGCAUGCCUUACACAUGCAAGUCGAACGGCAGCGGGGGAGAAGCUUGCUUUUCCUGCCGGCGAGCGGCGAACGGGUGAGUAAUACAUCGGAACGUGCCCUGUAGUGGGGGAUAACUAGUCGAAAGAUUAGCUAAUACCGCAUACGACCUGAGGGUGAAAGUGGGGGACCGCAAGGCCGCAUGCUAUAGGAUCGGCCGAUGUCGGAUUAGCUAGUUGGUGGGGUAAAGGCCUACCAAGGCGACGAUCAGUAGCUGGUCUGAGAGGACGAUCAGCCACACUGGGACUGAGACACGGCCCAGACUCCUACGGGAGGCAGCAGUGGGGAAUUUUGGACAAUGGGCGAAAGCCUGAUCCAGCAAUGCCGCGUGUGUGAAGAAGGCCUUCGGGUUGUAAAGCACUUUUGUCCGGAAAGAAAUGGCUCUGGUUAAUACCUGGGGUCGAUGACGGUACCGGAAGAAUAAGGACCGGCUAACUACGUGCCAGCCGCCGCGGUAA
RNAcentral lists this ribosomal RNA (508 nucleotides) under uncultured bacterium. RNAcentral's name for it is "partial 16S ribosomal RNA". It matches the Rfam family "Bacterial small subunit ribosomal RNA", at positions 30 to 523 of the family's 1533-position model. The record is from RNAcentral.